Molecule: non-coding RNA, 128 nt
Organism: Camelina sativa (false flax)
Lineage: Eukaryota; Viridiplantae; Streptophyta; Magnoliopsida; Brassicales; Brassicaceae
Source: RefSeq, a predicted model, not a curated record
UUCUUGUGGUCUAGUGCUAGUACCUUUAUUCACAAGACAACUCCUCAUAUCCCUGAAGUUCACAUCCCCGAGGAAGUUGUUCUUCAGCUUGCUUCUGGACUAAGAAUUGAAAUCAACCGUGGAUUUAC